UGAGGAAUAUUGGUCAAUGGGCGAGAGCCUGAACCAGCCAAGUAGCGUGAAGGAUGACUGCCCUAUGGGUUGUAAACUUCUUUUAUAAAGGAAUAAAGUCGGGUAUGGAUACCCGUUUGCAUGUACUUUAUGAACUAAGGAUCGGCUAACUCCGUGCC
Molecule: ribosomal RNA, 158 nt
Filed under: uncultured bacterium
Lineage: Bacteria
Description: partial 16S ribosomal RNA
Rfam family: Bacterial small subunit ribosomal RNA
Source: RNAcentral